AAUAAAGUGCCUGAUUAAAGGGUUAUCUUGAUAGGAUAAAACAAGUAAGAAUAUUACCUUUAUUA
Molecule: transfer RNA, 65 nt
Filed under: Stenophyella macreta
Lineage: Eukaryota; Metazoa; Arthropoda; Insecta; Hemiptera; Pachygronthidae
Description: tRNA-Ile
Source: RNAcentral